UACGAAGGGGGCUAGCGUUGUUCGGAUUUACUGGGCGUAAAGCGCACGUAGGCGGAUCGUUAAGUCGGGGGUGAAAUCCUGGAGCUCAACUCCAGAACUGCCUUCGAUACUGGCGAUCUUGAGUCCGGAAGAGGUGAGUGGAACUCCUAGUGUAGAGGUGGAAUUCGUAGAUAUUAGGAAGAACACCAAUUGCGAAGGCAGCUGGCUACACAGAUAUUGACGCUGAGGCACGAAAGCGUGGGGAUCAAACAGG
RNAcentral lists this ribosomal RNA (253 nucleotides) under uncultured bacterium. RNAcentral describes it as "partial 16S ribosomal RNA". It matches the Rfam family "Bacterial small subunit ribosomal RNA", at positions 524 to 776 of the family's 1533-position model. The record is from RNAcentral.